Molecule: long non-coding RNA, 207 nt
Filed under: Musa acuminata (dwarf banana)
Lineage: Eukaryota; Viridiplantae; Streptophyta; Magnoliopsida; Zingiberales; Musaceae
Description: long non-coding RNA (MACU_LNC008632)
Source: RNAcentral
AGCUAUUACAAAGUCCGUAAGUCAAGACUUCUUCCGGCGAGCUUUCGGCGAACUUCCGACGGUCUUCCGAUAAACUCUCGGAAACCAUUCUGCGGACUCCCGACAAGCUCCUAGACUUCACGAUUUGAUCUUGGUGAGUUCCAACGAGCUUCUUCGGAAAGCUCCGAUCAUUCUCGGUGAGCUCCGCGAACUUCCAACGAACCUUCC